Molecule: ribosomal RNA, 1350 nt
Filed under: uncultured organism
Description: bacterial SSU rRNA
Rfam family: Bacterial small subunit ribosomal RNA
Source: RNAcentral
GCGGUAGGCCUAACACAUGCAAGUCGAGCGGUAAGGUCUCUUCGGAGACACACGAGCGGCGAACGGCUGAGUAACACGUUGGAACCUGCCCCUUAGUGAGGGAUAACUCCGAGAAAUCGGAGCUAAUACCGCAUGUGCCUGCAAAGGUAAAGCUUCGGCGCUAAGGGAGGGGCCUGCGGCGUAUCAGGUUGUUGGUGGGGUAAUAGCUCACCAAGCCAUUGACGCGUAGCUGGUGUGAGAGCAUGACCAGCCAGAAUGGGACUGAGACACGGCCCAUACUCCUACGGGAGGCAGCAGUGAGGAAUCUUCCGCAAUGGGCGAAAGCCUGACGGAGCCAUACCGCGUGAAGGAUGACACCUUUCGGGGCGUAAACUUCUUUUCUGCAGGAAUACAUUUUGAAGGUACUGCAGGAAUAAGGGUCGGCUAACUACGUGCCAGCAGCCGCGGUAAUACGUAGGACCCAAGCGUUAUCCGAAAUUACUGGGCGUAAAGCGAUCGAAGGUGGACAAAUAAGUCUGGUGUAAAAUUUUGCGGCUCAACCGCAAAAGCGUACUGGAAACUAUUUAUCUAGAGGAAGACAGAGGUAGAUGGAAUUCUCAUUGUAGGGGUAAAAUCCGUUGAUAAUGAGAGGAACACCAAAAGCGAAGGCAGUCUACUGGGUCUUUCCUGACACUGUGCGAUCGAAAGCGUGGGGAGCAAAAGGGAUUAGAUACCCCUGUAGUCCACGCCGUAAACGAUGGAUACUCGGUGUAGGUAGUUUUAAUCGCUAUCUGUGCCCUAGCAAACGCGUUAAGUAUCCCGCCUGAGUAGUACGACCGCAAGGUUAAAACUCAAAGGAAUAGACGGGGAUCCACACAAGCGGUGGAGCAUGUGGUUUAAUUCGACAAUAAGCGAGGAACCUUACCUGGACUUGACAUCCUGAGAAGCUUUCAGAAAUGAGAGUGUGCCUUUUGGAACUCAGUGACAGGUGCUGCAUGGUUGUCGUCAGCUCGUGCCUUGAGGUGUUCGGUUAAGUCCGUUAACGAGCGCAACCCUCGCCAGAUGUUGUAUUUUUCAUCUGGGACUGCCGGUUUUACACCGGAGGAAGGUGAGGAUGACGUCAAAUCAGCAUGGCCCUUAUGUCCAGGGCGACACACGUGCUACAAUGGCCGGUACAAAGGGUAGCUAAGUUGUAAAGCGGAGCCAAUCCCAUAAAGCUGGUCACAGUUCGGAUUGAGGGCUGCAACCCGCCCUCAUGAAGCUGGAAUCGCUAGUAACCGUAAAUCAGCCAUAUUACGGUGAAUAUGUUCCUGGAUCUUGUACUCACCGCCCGUCAAGCCACGAAAGGCAGGGGUGCCCGAAAUGGCGUUA